Molecule: small nuclear RNA, 103 nt
Organism: Manis pentadactyla (Chinese pangolin)
Lineage: Eukaryota; Metazoa; Chordata; Mammalia; Pholidota; Manidae
Source: RefSeq, a predicted model, not a curated record
GUGCCCAUUUGGUAGCACAUAUACUAAAACUGGAAUGAUACAGAGGCUACCAUGGCCCCCACGCAAGGACGGCAUGCAAAUUCACUAAGGGGUCCAUGUUUUU